Molecule: ribosomal RNA, 450 nt
Filed under: uncultured bacterium
Lineage: Bacteria
Description: bacterial SSU rRNA
Rfam family: Bacterial small subunit ribosomal RNA
Source: RNAcentral
UUAAUUCGACGCAACGCGAAGAACCUUACCUACCCUUGACAUCCUCGGAACCUAGCAGAGAUGCUGGGGUGCCUUCGGGAGCCGAGAGACAGGUGCUGCAUGGCUGUCGUCAGCUCGUGUCGUGAGAUGUUGGGUUAAGUCCCUUAACGAGCGCAACCCUUGUCCUUAGUUGCUAACAGGUAAAGCUGAGAACUUUAAGGAGACUGCCGGCGAUAAGCCGGAGGAAGGUGGGGAUGACGUCAAGUCCUCAUGGCCCUUACGGGUAGGGCUACACACGUGCUACAAUGGGCGGUACAGAGGGAUGCAGAGCCGCGAGGUGAAGCGAACCCCAGAAAACCGCUCGUAGUCCGGAUUGGAGUCUGAAACUCGACUCCAUGAAGUUGGAAUCGCUAGUAAUCGCAGAUCAGAACGCUGCGGUGAAUACGUUCCCGGGCCCUUGUACACACCGCC